GGACGAACGCUGGCGGCGUGCUUACCCCAUGCACGUCGAACGGAAAGGCCCUGCUUUUGUGGGGUGCUCGAGUGGCGAACGGGUGAGUAACACGUGAGUAACCUGCCCUUGACUUUGGGAUAACUUCAGGAAACUGGGGCUAAUACCGGAUAGGAGCUCCUGCUGCAUGGUGGGGGUUGGAAAGUUUCGGCGGUUGGGGAUGGACUCGCGGCUUAUCAGCUUGUUGGUGGGGUAGUGGCUUACCAAGGCUUUGACGGGUAGCCGGCCUGAGAGGGUGACCGGCCACAUUGGGACUGAGAUACGGCCCAGACUCCUACGGGAGGCAGCAGUGGGGAAUAUUGCACAAUGGGCGGAAGCCUGAUGCAGCAACGCCGCGUGCGGGAUGACGGCCUUCGGGUUGUAAACCGCUUUCGCCUGUGACGAAGCGUGAGUGACGGUAAUGGGUAAAGAAGCACCGGCUAACUACGUG
Molecule: ribosomal RNA, 469 nt
Filed under: uncultured bacterium
Lineage: Bacteria
Description: partial 16S ribosomal RNA
Rfam family: Bacterial small subunit ribosomal RNA
Source: RNAcentral